GGGACAGGGGUCCAUGAGGGAAAGGGGUCCAUGAGGGAGGGGGGGGGUCUGAGAUGGGGGUCCAUGAAGGACAGGGGUCCAUGAGGGAAGAAGUCCAUGGGGAAGGGGCUCUGAGGCGGCUCCAAGCGCUCGCUGGACAUACGCUAAUUAAGCGGUGCCGCUCCUCUGUGAGGCAGCUAAAGGACACAGGAGACCCUUCAGCCCGCAUCGGGGGGACAACACCCGUUUCGGCAGCACAGAAAAAUGCUGCAAAGGACAGAAACCGAGUCCUGGCAGCUGAAAUCAAGCAAAUCAGGGAGGCUCUUCGUGCCGCGCUGGGGCACCGAGCGGGAGCGAACGCUGCAUGGGGUUUCGAGCCGAGCGCCGCGCGGCCUUGCUUCGGGGUGGACGUCCUCCAAAUCCCAGCUCCAAGUGUGCGCCAGCUGACCAGCAGCGCGAGGGGAAGUGACCCCAUCCCUCCCCCUAACAUCGGAGCUCUUCCGAAGCCGGAGCGUCAUGCCGAGAGCCUUGCUGGGAUGGAUUUUCGGAUGCAGAGAUCGCUGCCGGCUCAUUGGGGUGAUCGCAAUGAGGACGACCGACGGGAGCGGAGCGAGAGGAUGAGCACAGGAGCACCAGGAACAGGCGGAGAGAGAAAGCACARAGAGCUGGAAGGAAACUCACUUUUCAGGAGAAAACAGCUGAAAGGCGUACGCGUGACUCACUCGAGGAGGGCUGUUUGUUUUGGGACACGUCCCUCCAGCUGCUUCUCUUUCUCGGGCGUUUCUGUAYGCGCUGAUGUUUCUGUGUACUACAAAAUAAAGCGUCUGCAAAUACGAGGCGAUGCUAGUUGCUUUUUUGGUGCCAGCUAGUUUAAAAGUCUGUUUUACAGCCCAGUCUGACAGAAGCGCAUAAUCCCAGUCAGCCCGGCCAGCACAAACGUGAGAGGUCGCGUUUUGCAGCUAUUUGGGUAGUUGAGUUACUCGGGUCGUUCCUCCCCCCGGGUCAUUCCCCGAAAAGCCCCGACACUAGACUCCAGCUCAGCGCCCGUGUCGUUAAUUGAACGUUGCCGAGACCCGUGCUCAGAACGCCUUACGAGCCUCCCUCGGCGCCCCAAAAAUUAAUUCUCACUGCAGUGAGGGAGACUAUCGAUUUCUGCUGUCUCACAACAAAAACCGC
RNAcentral lists this long non-coding RNA (1155 nucleotides) under Dromaius novaehollandiae (emu). RNAcentral's name for it is "lncRNA (ENSDNVG00000015371.1)". The record is from RNAcentral. Lineage: Eukaryota; Metazoa; Chordata; Aves; Casuariiformes; Dromaiidae.